This 392-nucleotide ribosomal RNA is filed under the name uncultured bacterium. RNAcentral's name for it is "bacterial SSU rRNA". It matches the Rfam family "Bacterial small subunit ribosomal RNA", at positions 98 to 524 of the family's 1533-position model. The record is from RNAcentral.
GAAGACGGGUGAGUAACGCGUGGGAAUCUACCCAGUUCUACGGAAUAACCCAGGGAAACUUGGACUAAUACCGUAUACGCCCUACGGGGGGAAAGAUUUAUCGGAAUUGGAUGAGCCCGCGUAAGAUUAGCUAGUUGGUGGGGUAAUGGCCUACCAAGGCGACGAUCUUUAGCUGGUCUGAGAGGAUGAUCAGCCACACUGGGACUGAGACACGGCCCAGACUCCUACGGGAGGCAGCAGUGGGGAAUAUUGGACAAUGGGCGCAAGCCUGAUCCAGCCAUGCCGCGUGAGUGAUGAAGGCCUUAGGGUUGUAAAGCUCUUUCAGUGGGGACGAUAAUGACGGUACCCACAGAAGAAGCCCCGGCUAACUUCGUGCCAGCAGCCGCGGUAAU